AUACGGAGGAUGCAAGCGUUAUCCGGAUUCAUUGGGUUUAAAGGGUGCGCAGGCGGGCUUGUAAGUCAGUGGUGAAAUGCUGCCGCUUAACGGUAGAAUUGCCAUUGAUACUGCAAGUCUUGAAUAUGGUUGAGGUAGGCGGAAUGUGUUGUGUAGCGGUGAAAUGCAUAGAUAUGACACAGAACACCGAUUGCGAAGGCAGCUUACUAAGCCAUGAUUGACGCUGAGGCACGAAAGCGUGGGGAGC
RNAcentral lists this ribosomal RNA (247 nucleotides) under uncultured bacterium. RNAcentral describes it as "partial 16S ribosomal RNA". It matches the Rfam family "Bacterial small subunit ribosomal RNA", at positions 523 to 769 of the family's 1533-position model. The record is from RNAcentral.